This 318-nucleotide ribosomal RNA is filed under the name uncultured eukaryote. RNAcentral's name for it is "partial 18S ribosomal RNA". It matches the Rfam family "Eukaryotic small subunit ribosomal RNA", at positions 1470 to 1796 of the family's 1831-position model. The record is from RNAcentral.
CCCCUAGAUGUUCUGGGCCGCACGCGCGCUACACUGAACAGUUCAACAAGUCUUAACCUUGGCCGAUAGGUCUGGGUAAUCUUUGAACGCUGUUCGUGAUUGGGAUAGACCUUUGCAAUUAUGGGUCUUCAACGAGGAAUUCCUAGUAAACGCAAGUCAUCAGCUUGCAUUGAUUACGUCCCUGCCCUUUGUACACACCGCCCGUCGCUCCUACCGAUUGGGUGCUCCGGUGAAUUGUUUGGACUGCUGUCAGUCUUUUUGGCUGUCGGCGAGAAGCUCUGUGAACCUUAGCACCUAGAGGAAGGAGAAGUCGUAACA